AGGACGAACGCUGGCGGCGUGCCUAACACAUGCAAGUCGAACGGAGUUAACGAUGGAAGCGGCCUUCGGGUGUGGAAGCCGUUAACUUAGUGGCGGACGGGUGAGUAACGCGUGAGUAACCUGCCUUCAGAGGGGGAUAACGUUCGGAAACGGACGCUAAUACCGCAUGACAUAGCGAUACCGCAUGGUAAUGCUAUCAAAGGAGCAAUCCGCUGAGAGAUGGACUCGCGUCUGAUUAGAUAGUUGGUGAGGUAACGGCUCACCAAGUCGACGAUCAGUAGCCGGACUGAGAGGUUGAACGGCCACAUUGGGACUGAGACACGGCCCAGACUCCUACGGGAGGCAGCAGUGAGGGAUAUUGCACAAUGGGCGCAAGCCUGAUGCAGCAACGCCGCGUGAGGGAAGACGGUCUUCGGAUUGUAAACCUUAGUCAACAGGGACGAAGCAAGUGACGGUACCUGUGGAGGAAGCCACGGCUAACUACGUGCCAGCAGCCGC
RNAcentral lists this ribosomal RNA (498 nucleotides) under uncultured bacterium. RNAcentral's name for it is "bacterial SSU rRNA". It matches the Rfam family "Bacterial small subunit ribosomal RNA", at positions 26 to 518 of the family's 1533-position model. The record is from RNAcentral.